Perca fluviatilis (European perch) is the source of this 318-nucleotide long non-coding RNA. RefSeq lists it as uncharacterized. The record is from RefSeq and is a predicted model, not a curated record. The transcript has 3 exons. Lineage: Eukaryota; Metazoa; Chordata; Actinopteri; Perciformes; Percidae.
UAAGGACUGUACCAAACAAUACAUGGAGGUCAUUGCUUGUCCACAGUGAUCUAAAUGUUAGAGGAGGAUAUUAGUGAAGCUAACCACAGUCUACUUUUUCUGCUUCUAUUUUGUGAUCCAUGAUGUCCAAUCCCAAUCUGCUAGCCAAUGGACGGCAAACAUGCCGACACAUAUUCCGACUUAUAUAAAUACUGGAUUGUGUAAAAACAGGAGGGCAACAUGGGAAAAGAUGCCCCUCUUAAGGACAUUGUACACAUACGCUUGAUGUUAGAAUGUAAUAUGAUUGUGUAUAAACCAACACAGUUUUGGGGGGUGUGG